Molecule: transfer RNA, 78 nt
Filed under: Candidatus Heimdallarchaeota archaeon
Lineage: Archaea; Promethearchaeati; Candidatus Heimdallarchaeota
Also listed under: 2 other names
Description: tRNA-Met
Rfam family: tRNA
About the family: Transfer RNA (tRNA) molecules are approximately 80 nucleotides in length. Their secondary structure includes four short double-helical elements and three loops (D, anti-codon, and T loops).
Source: RNAcentral
GGGCUCGUAGCUCAGUUUGGUAGAGCGUCAGGCUCAUAACCUGAUGGUUCGCGUGUUCAAAUCGCGCCGAGCCCACCA